AGUUAAGAUCAAAAAACAAAAUGGUGGCAUAAUAUCUGGGUGGUGCUAGGCCAGGGUGUAGGGGAGGUCAGAGCCCCAGAAGAAACCUACUUUGAGCAAUCAUUGUCCGGUGGCAGUGAGAAUUACCACCUUCCAAUUGUUAUCAUCCUAAAACAUCAAGACAUGGCAGAAAAGAGUUGAGAUAACCACUACAGAAAACCAGGCAAGUGAUUACGUGACCGAAGGUCAGGGUCAGGAAGGCUCCAGGUGCCUGUACAUGUAACUUUAACUAGGCCAAGCCCUGAAAAAGUGGUGCAUUGGCUGGGAACUCGACGGUGACCUAACUGAUCCAACAACAUGGAUCUCUCAUGGGGCAUGAUGGAAAACCCUGAACCGCUCCAACAAACUUGUCAUCUGGUAGGCCAGCUCCAGCAGCAGCAGCAGCAACAACAGGCCUGGGCUCAGAGGAACUAAGUAGAGCUGAAAGUCCCCAAGAUGAUGCCGCAGGAUGAUCCAGAAGCAUUUCUGGAGAGCUUUGAGUGGGCAGAGCUAGCUUCAGAGCUAGAUCAGAGCUGCUGGGCUGGGCAGUUGGGUGUAGUCUUGAUAGGGUGGGCACAAGGUGCCUAACAAUCCAGGGCAUGGGAAGAAGUCUUAGAUUACAACAAACUAAAGAAGGAAAUCCUAUACUAGUUGGACAUCAAUCCUGAAAGAUACCACCAGACGUUCUAAGCUAACAAGAAGAAAGUGGAUAAAUCUCCUAGGGUCUUGCUUCAGCACCUGGCAGAUCUACUGGAAAAGUGACUGAGGCCACAAAAGAUGUCCAAGGUCAAUAUAUGCGACCAGAUCCUGUUAGAACAGUUUCUCUUGGACUUAGAUGAGAAUACACAAAGGUGGGUGAGAUGUCACCAUCCAGAAUCAUUGGUGGAAGCUCUGAGGCUGGAAGAGAAUUUUGACAGUGCCCAAGGAGAAAAUGGCUGUGAGUGGACUUUGAAAGGUAAGCUGAAUAUCAGUCAAUGAGAGGCUGAAUGUAAAGAGGCGCGUGAAGCACGUCUGGCUCAUGGACGCAGCAUGGUAUGUUUUCAGUGUGGCAAGCUGGGACAUAUGGCCAGGGAGUGUACCAGCAUGCCUCGGCAGGGGCCCCGUUCAGGAGACCCGUAUUUCAAAGUGCGGGAGUACCGGAAUGACCCGAAGGAUAGUGGUCCAGGCAAAAUGAUGGAUUGUACCCUAGGAAAGAGCAACUGGGAAGAGAACAAAGAGCAACCUAUGGUUUGGGCAACAGCUGGGGGGAAGAAGAUACAAGCCAUCAUCAAUACCAGUUGUGCCCAAAUGUUGAUUCUGGAAGAUCUAGCUUCUCUCAACUGGGCACCAGAUGCAACGGCAGUCCAGAUGAUAUGCAUGCAUGGACAACCUUCCACGUAUCCCCGAAAGAGGUACCGGAUGGAAAUCCUUAAUAGAGCCAGAGAGAUGCCAGUUGGCCUAGCGGAGGAUCUACUUUACCCAAUGAUAUUGGGCCAUAACUGGGAAGAGAUCUACCAGGUGCUGAAGGUGGUGAGAAGACUGACUAGGACUCACAGGAGAAGAAUCAGAGAACAUGGAGGGAUUUGACCUAGAGAGUUUGUCCAGCAACACACACUUUUGAGAGGCGCAAGUGGAAGAGGGGGCGUUCCAUGCCAUUAUCCAGAUGGAGCUGGUCAUGAACAAUGAACAGGUAAUCUGCCCCAAGCUGUGUUUCACAUUACCCCAGUUUGAACUUAGAAAGGGCCUACUUUAUAGAAUUAAGUCAGGUCAUCAAGAAGGGCAAGAAAUACCUAAACUAUUGAUCCCUCAACCCUACUGGGCCCCACUAAUUGAGAUUGGCACAUAUGAAUCCUCUGGGAGGACAUAUGGGGAGGGCAAAAAUGGAAGCUCAUUUGGCCAAAUACUGUUUUUGGCCACACCUGUCUAAGCAAGUCGAAGACUUCUGCCGAGCGUGUCCAAAUUGCCAAAGGGUCAGCCUAAGGAAACCCCCAUGGGCCCCACUACAGUCUAUGCUGGUAGUGUCAGACUUAGGCUUAGAAAGUGGGUGGAUAAAAACCAAAUGACAUUCAAUACAUAUAAAUGCAAGGUACCCCACCUUGGGGGGAAAAAAACUCGCAUCACGCUUAUAGGUUCAGCAGUGCUGCACUCACUAGCACCACAGCCAAAAGGGACUUCGGGGUCAUGAUUGACCACAAGAUGAACAUGAGCCACCAACGUGAUGUCACAGCUGGUAAAGUAAACAAAACUCUGGCUUGCAUCCAUAGAUGCUUCUCAAGCAAAUCUCAGGAUAUCAUCCUCCUGCUGUACUCGGACUUGAUGAGGCCGCAGCUGGAGUACUGUAUCCAAUUCUGGGCUCUACAAUUUAAGAAGGAUGUGGAGAAGCUUGAGAGAGUCCAUAGAAGAGCCACACACAUGAUUAGAAGGCAAGAGAACAGGCCUUAUGAAGAGAGGCUUAGAGCCAUGGGACUCCUCAGCCUGGAAAAACCCAGUCUCAGGGAUGACCUGAUGGCAGCCUAUAAGUAUGUAAGGGGUGUGCAUCAGGAUCUGGGGGAAUGCCUGUUCACCACAGCACCUCAAGGGAUGACAAUGUCCAAUGGUCACAUACUCCUCCAAAACCUUUUUAGGUUGGACAUAAGGAAAAACUUCUUUCCUGUCUGAGCCCCGAAGGCCUGGAAUAGAUUCCCUCCAGAGGUGGUGCAAGCACCUACUCUGGACUCUUUUAAGAAACAUUUGGACACUUUUCUUGCAGGUAUCCUUUGACCCUAGCUGACUUCCUGCCCCUGGGUCAGAGGGCUGGACUCAAUGAUCUUCUGAGGUCCAUUUCACCCCUAAUGUCUACGAAAUCAUUCCAGUCCUUUUAAUAUUUAAACCCUUUUGCACGGAUAGCUUUAGAUAGUUGAGCCACUACCGAGUUCAGCGGAACACCAGUUUAUACUAGUCCUAAUGGAUUAUGCAACAUGGUUCCCAGAUGCCAUCCCACUUCACUUAGUUACAGGACAUCAGGCAACAGAGGAAUUACUGAAGUGGAUAUCGAGGGUCGGCAUUUCCAAAGAGAUAAUUACCGACCAGGGGACUAGUUGUAUGUCACAGGUCAUCUGCAGCCUUUGCAGUGUGCUUCAAAUCCAGCACCUGCAGAUGGCAGUGUAUCAUCCCCAGACAAAUGGGUUAGUGGAGAGGUUUAAUGGUACCCUUAAAAAUAUGUUGUGCCAGUGUGCCCAAGAGGAGCUCCGUAAGUGGGACCUAUUAGUGCCUCCACUCUUGUUCGCCAUAUGGGAAGCCCCUCAAUCUUCCAUGCGGUUUGCCCCAUUUGAGCUUGUGUACACCACAUCAGCCUCAAGGACUCUUAAAUAUAGUACAGGCGGGUUGGGAAAGAGAAGAAUUUAUGAGCCCACAACCCUCUGAAUAUGUAUGAGAACUGAGGCACUGGCUACAGAGGGCCGGAGAGGUUGCUCGAGACCAUCUCAGUUGAGUUCAGUAGAAAUAAAAAGAGUGUUAUGACAAGGGUGUACAGACGAGAAAGCUCAGUGAGGGACAAAAGGUGUUAGUGCUCCUUCCCAGUGCUAUUAGUAAGUUCCUGACAUGCUAGCAAGGGCCGUUUGAGAUAGUGAGAUGAGUCGGCCCAGAAGUGUUCCAGCUGGGGAUACAAGAAAGAAAAGUAAAUUUACCACAUUAAUUUGCUAAGGUUAUGGCAAGAAACAAAGGGUCUAUUAUCUACCCCAGUAAGAGAGAGAUCAGAUGUAAAGCAGGAGAAAAAUAAAAAAAACCAGAAGAAUGGGGACUUACAAAGGAUAUCUGUCUAGGAUCCCAGUUGUUAGGGGGGGACAAAAGGUGUAGUUAGAGCAGCUAGUACAAGAAAUUUGCAAUUUGUUUAGCAAAAUUCUUGGAUGCACAAAGGGACUAAGUCACAGCAUUAUCACAGCGAAAGGCAAAGAGGUAAGGGAGAAAUGGCAGAGGAUCCCUUACCAUAGAUAUGACCUAAUAAGGGCUGAAACAGAUAAAAUGUUAGCUCAGGGUGUGAUCACCAAUUCUCAAAACCCCUGGCGAAGCCCCUUAGUGGCUGUGCCAAAACUAGACAGAUCACUAAGGCUGUGCAUAGACUUUUGAAAAUGGAACGCUAUCUCUAGAUUUGAUGCUUUUCCAAUACCACAGAUUAACAAGUUACUAGAGAGGUUAGGGCAAGCAAAAUUUAUAUCCACCUUGGACUGAUCUAAGGGAUAUUGGCAAGUGCCAGUACAAAAGAAUGAUCAAGCAAAAACUGCCUUUGGCGCUCCAUGGGGUCUUUAUGAGUUCAAACGCAUGCCGUUCAGUCUACAUGGUGCAGUGGAAAUGUUUCAAAGACUAAUCGAUUGGGCACUAGCCCCACAUCAAAGAUAUGCUGCAGCCUACCUGGCCGACAUCAUCAUUUACUCAAACAAGUUGGAGCAACAUCUAAAAGCCCUUUGGGCAGUCCUCCAGGAACUCUGAUUAGCCGAUUUAACUGCCAAACCAGGAAAAUGUGUAUUAGGAAAGGCAGAGACCAAAUAUCUCAGGUUCUCAGUGGGAUAGAGAUGUAUCCGACUGGCUAGCAGAUAAGAUAGAAACCAUAAGAGACUAACCUCUGCCCCAAACUAGAAAACAGAUGAGAGCUUUUCUCAGGCUAGCCAGUUACUACUGGCACUUUAUUCCACAUUUCGGGGGAGGUGACCACACCAUUAACAGACAUUUUGAAGGGAAAAAGCUCAGACCUUAUAAAGCGGGAUGAAUCACGCCUCCAAGCAUUUCAGAGAACAAAAACAGCACUGUGCCUUGAUGUGGUCCUAAAGACUCCUGAUUUCACACAGCCUUACAUUUGUCAGACGGAUGCCUCUAAUCAUGCCAUGGGAGCUGUAUUGUCCCCAGAAAUGGACAGAGUGGACCAGCUCAUAGCCUAUGCCAGCUGCAAGUUGAACUCUCACUGUAACAGGGUGGCUGAAGCACCCUGGCACAGGAGCGCAAGUAUUAAAACAUAGGAAAGAAACUUACCGGGAGAUGCUGAGGAAACCGCGGUGAGCCAGGGCGGGAAAGACACCAUGGCCUGAUUAAUUAAGGGAACCAGCUGGGGCCACAGCAGUUCAAAGGCUGUUGUGGCAAAACCCAGCUGCCAGGGUUCAAACCCAAGAUGGAGAAUGACGCAGCCAAAGAAAAAGAAAAAGCCGUGCCAAAAAGUUAAAAGAGAAACAGCUGGGUUGGGAAGGCAGUGAAUCGGAGGCUGCCCCAGGGACCCAGCUGACCGGGAGAUAAAUUUAAGGGGACAUUGAGGGAGAGUCUGGGUUGGAUCUGAGUAAUGGAAGAAGGAGGAGGAGAGAGAGAAGACAACGAGAGCUGAGGAGGGAAAGAAACAACUUUGGGGUUGGGGGAAACCCCAAUCCCAGACUUACCUGGUGAGAGCCAACAAAGACACAGAGGAGACUGUUCUGUCGGCAUGGCAGAAGAUUUUUCUGAAGGACAGAACACAACUAUUCCAGCAAGGAGGCAACUCAGCUCUAGGAGGCACGCCACCAACCGCUUACACUCACUAACAAAGCCCUGCAGAUUCAUUAGUGAGUGGUAAGGAGGACAGGAGAUACCAGUCACCAACAUGUGAACAAACCUUAAAAAGGACUAUUUCUGGAAGAGUUGGCUCUUUUAGGAAUUAAGUACAAAAGAAAGUUUGGAAGCUCAUGGCAAGCACGAACUGUUGCUGGCAGGAGCUGCCAUAUAGCUGACAAGCUAGUGAAGCUCCAUCUGUGACGUUUAGUGAAAAUGAUUGAGUUAAUGUGUAUGCAACUAUAAAGAUCAGUUUAAAAAUCCUGUGGAUUUGGUGGUAAAAUGCGUAGGUUUGUUAGGUCUAGUAAAUGAAGUUCUCUUAUUUUUAACCAAAAGUACCAUUAUAUUAAACUACCAACAUGACUCAGCCUUCAUCAGGACAGGAGGAAUCAAGGCUCUCUCAGUUUCAAACGUCCAUGCAUGACUUGCUCUUUCUGCUGAGUCUGCCAACAGUUGUAAAUCAAUGUGCAGUGAACUUGUGAGGUGGGAGCUGAGAUCCCCCCAACUCAUUACAUAUACUCCUAAAAACAUUGAUUACCUGGGAAUAAUUUGUAAUCUGUGUUAUGCUGGGUUGGAUUCAAAAUGGUAACGUUCAGGUGGAAGCUUCUGUAGUUCCUUAGUAAUUCCCUCAGUUACCGUAUUUGUUACUAGAUGUGAAGUGAGGCUUAUUUUCUUGGAAGAUACCAAUAAGUUUAUUACAUCUAAUUCUGAACUUUUUGGAGCUUGGGCAGGCACAAUCUUAGUAGAAAGGGGUGGGGUGUAGGGGGGGAGGAGCCCCAUAGAAGACAUGCCAGUAGAGUCACCCUGGGUCCUACAGAAAUUACUGAGCACCACCUCUGGAGGUAAAAUCCAGUAUAAAAAACAAGUUGUGGCAGGUGAAUAGACCCAGGUGAGAUGUGGUUCAGGUGGGAUAAGCCCAUUGGCUGGUAUGGUGGUCAUGAGCCUGUCAUACCAGGAUUUCCCAGUAUCUAAAUUUAUUACAGUUAUUACAAGAUCACUAUCCUACUUUAUGAAGGGGUCCUAUACCUACAUUUAAAGCACUAAUGCCUAAGGCCGUGAGUAGACAAAAUGAAGGGUGUGUGUGCCCAACACUUUAAAGCGGGCUAAAUGCUUUUGCACUGCUUUAAUUGUAUUGGUAUUUGCAUGCCUUGGCAGCGUAUUGUGCAUUAAUUCCAGCCACUGUAGGAAAUUCAGUGGCCUAAUGUGCCUUAAAUGACUUGGGGUGCAGCAAAAUAAAACUCCAAGGACGUGUCUUAAUUUGCUGCCCCUACAGCCGCAGAGCAAAGCCUGGGGCUUUGUGCAGCUCCACGGCUCUGCAAGAAUCCCUGCAGGGAGCCUGGCAGCAGCCCAGGAAAGCAGGCUCUGCCCAAGAAAAGCAGUGAGCCUGAUUUCCCGCCCCCCUUCCCCGGAGCCUGCCUGCCUGCUUGAGCUGCACAGGGACCCAGUGCUUCCCUCCGUGGCUGAGGUGCCCCCCAGGACCACCCGUGCCAGGUGCCUGCGGGUGGGUUCUGCCUGGGUGGGACUGCUGCUGCUGUGGAGGGAAGCACCAGCCCCCCCCCCCCGCCUCAUAGCCCAGGGACCGCUCCUCCUGCCGGCAGCUCAACCUCCCCUCCCUGCUGCCAGAGAGGCAGGUAAGUGCAGGGUGUGUGUAUGACACAGGGGUUUACUUCACCCUAAAUUGAACUGGUGCGUUUUUAAACCCACCAGUUCAAUUUAGGGACCCCAUUUCACCUACACACGCCCUAAACUAGCAUGCAGCUGCUGAACCUUUAAAAAGCAAUGACCCUUGGAACCAAAUCAUCUGCUAAAAAGAACCCUUGACAUGAGCUUAGUCUCUCAUAACACUGACUAAUUAUAAUAGAACUAUAAUGUGUUAUUUAGUAGUUGAGAAAGUGAUGAUUGCUUCAGUUACAAUGAUUCUGGUGUCACAAUUGCCUCAGCUAAGAGUGACCUCAGCUAUUACUCUGACCCUAUGUUAUAUGGUUUAUUUAAUCAAUACAAUUACAUAUAAUACUAAUGAAUUAGCUUAAUCAUAACCUAAUGGAACCCACCUACAAAAUGCACAAGCCAUUUUAUGCUGCAAAGUGUGUUCUCAUUUUCAUGUUGCUAGUUAUUAAACAUAAUUGUUUUUUUCCUCUCAUAUUUGUUGUAUAUGAUCAUGUCUUCUAUAUAUGCUGUAUUUAAGCACCAGGCCUCCUUAUCUUCAAAACACCAAGAUAAACUGCAUGUAGGCAGAUAUCUGUGGCUUUUGUUUAGGCCUAUUGUUUAGAACCCUUCGUACUGUUUACUGUGAACAAGAAAGCAGUGGGUUCAAGCAAUGGGGAUCAGCUCCUAGCCUGAUUGGCAAAAGUGGGCAGUGUUCUUUUUUAAGUAAUUGACUAAGAGAGAUGAUGAAAUGUGGCAACACCUGACUGGAUACUUGAGGGUGAUGUCGUGCCAUAGUAUAUAGGAAUUUUCAGCUGAGAGUCUCUCUCUGGGGCUGCAAAGCUGGAAGCUGAGCUGCAAAAAAUUGCAGCCCAUGGAGGGGGGUCUUCCCCCACCUUCACUGGAGAAGCAAGUUGGAGCUAUGUGAAGGAAAAAUCCAAGGUAGAGGAAGAAAAAGACUGUCUCAGAGUUUGGGGGACAGCUUCUCUCCCUCUUUUCUCCUUUUUCCUGGGGUUUGAGUGGGAUAAAACCAUGGGGUUAUUAAUCCAUGGGGGUAAAACUAUGAGAGUUUUGAGUGGGAUAAUACUGUGGGGGCUGAAGCCUGGCAGUUUUGCUAGCAGAUUUGGGCCAGGAUUAAAAGCCUGGCACAUUUCAAACCAGGGCUGAGGAUGUGGCAUGUUUGUUACUGUUGCAACAUCUUUUGUUUCAGUCUAGCUAUGUGGCUGAACCCCAGCAGUAUAUUCCAUUGACACAUUUGGGCCAGGAUUAAAGGCCUGGCAAAUUUGGGACCAGGUUUAAGACCUUGAGUGGGAUAAUACUGUGGGGGUAUUAAUCCCUGGAGCAAACUGGCCAUGAAUGGAGUCCUGACAGUUAUUGACCAGAAUAAACCUCCCCAUCCACCUUCAGCUUUGUUGUUUUACAGCUGUUUUGUCUUGGUCUAGUUCAGACUUGUCCAACAUACGGCCUACCAAGGCAUUUUCUGAGGCCCGCAGUGCUGCAACAGGAAAUGAAAGUAAACACGGUUUAUUUUCAUUCCCACUCCUUGUCCCUCCCCCAGUCCCUCAGCAGCUUCCUAAUGGCUGCUGAAGGGCUGGGGAAGGGACAAGGUUCCCACACGCACCGUGUCAGCAUGGCGCGGCCCAGCCGGGUCCCUCACAGGGCCAGAACCCUCCCUGGCCGGGUGGGUGGCGCUGGCUGCGGCUGCUGAGCGGCCCCGCCUGCCCGCCCGCCCUGAGGAGCUGGUGCCUGCCCGGGCAGCUGUAGCCGAUGCCACGGGCUCGGGGCAGGCGCAGGAUGGAGCCUUCAUGGGAGAACUUUGCUGCUGGAUGGCGGAGGAGCGGUUCCGCUCAUGGGCCCGGGACCUGCCGGUCACUGGCAGGGAGGAUGCGCGUCCAGGAGUGCCUGUGCUCCUGCCCCCACCUCCCCACCCUGACACAAGCCUGUGAACAUGCCCUGCACUGUCAGAGUGGCCCCACGCGGGAGGCCAAGCAGCGGCCGCUGGCACUGCCAGCCCACGCCUGCCUCCUAACCCGCCCACUUCAAGCCAGCCCCGCUGCCCUGCCCUGCCCCACAGCAAGGCGGCACCUGCUCCUCUGGCCAGUCUCCCCCUGGUCACUGCGGCUCUCCGGGCUUGGCCGCCCACGCACAAGGCCCCGAGGGUGCCAUUUCUCAUGUGCUGCUGGGGACGGGAGGAGCCCAGUCGGGUCUGCAGCGACCAGCAGAAGUGGCGGAGCCAUGUGCCACUUGGGACAGGAUGAGCCUGCAGCGGUCAGUCCCGAGAGGCACACGGCUCUGCCGCUGCUUCUGCAGACCUGGCCAGCCUCCUCCCAUCCCCAGUAGCACAUGGGAAGCCAGCUUCAGCUGUAUGCUGCUUUUCCUGGCCGGUGCUGACCUGGUUCUGCCCAGGCAGGUCCUGCAGCACCAUAUCAACCCAGGCAUGGCACCAGCAGGCUGGGUGGGCCUCCAGUCAACUCUGGCCUGGCCCUGCGGCUUCUCCAGCACCAGGUCAACACAGUUGUAGCCAAGCGGCUCCUGCAGCACCAUGUCAACCCGGGCAUGGCACGAGGUCGGCCAGGCAACAGGUCUGUAGAAAUACUGUCCAGUGUUUGGAUUGUGUUUACUUCUGUUUCUA
Long non-coding RNA from Alligator mississippiensis (American alligator), 9817 nucleotides. RefSeq lists it as uncharacterized. NCBI's taxonomy places the organism in Eukaryota, Metazoa, Chordata, Crocodylia, Alligatoridae. The record is from RefSeq and is a predicted model, not a curated record. The transcript has 3 exons.